This 74-nucleotide transfer RNA is filed under the name Eubacterium sp. RNAcentral's name for it is "tRNA-Glu". It matches the Rfam family "tRNA". From Rfam's summary of the family: Transfer RNA (tRNA) molecules are approximately 80 nucleotides in length. Their secondary structure includes four short double-helical elements and three loops (D, anti-codon, and T loops). Lineage: Bacteria; Bacillati; Bacillota; Clostridia; Eubacteriales; Eubacteriaceae. The record is from RNAcentral.
GGCGAGGUAGUCAAAUGGUAUACGAUAUUGGGCUUUCAACCCGAUGGUGGUGGGUUCAAUUCCCCCUCUCGUCA